CCUACGGGGGGCAGCAGUGAGGAAUAUUGGUCAAUGGGCGCGAGCCUGAACCAGCCAAGCCGCGUGAAGGAUGACUGCCCUGCGGGUUGUAAACUUCUUUUAUAAAGGAAUAAAGUGAGGCACGUGUGCCUUUUUGUAUGUACUUUAUGAAUAAGGAUCGGCUAACUCCGUGCCAGCAGCCGCGGUAAUACGGAGGAUCCGAGCGUUAUCCGGAUUUAUUGGGUUUAAAGGAAGCGGAGAGGGGUUGUUAAGUCAGUUGUGAAAGUUUGCGGCUCAACCGUAAAAUUGCAGUUGAUACUGGCAGUCUUGAGUACAGGUGAGGUAGGCGGAAUUCGUGGUGUAGCGGUGAAAUGCUUAGAUAUCACGAAGAACUCCGAUUGCGAAGGCAGCUUACUAGACCGCCACUGACGUUGAGGCACGAAAGUGUGGGUAUCAAACAGGAUUAGAUACCCCGGUAGUC
Molecule: ribosomal RNA, 460 nt
Filed under: uncultured bacterium
Lineage: Bacteria
Description: partial 16S ribosomal RNA
Rfam family: Bacterial small subunit ribosomal RNA
Source: RNAcentral